UCCUGCGGCUGCGCAGACCCGUCCGCUCCUUCUGCGGCUGCGCGGUGGCCCCUCGGCACCUUUUGCGGCUGCGCAGUGGAACCCCUGCUGGGCCGUGGAUGCAGUCGAUUUCCCACUGCAGUAAUUUACCCCUGCGGGUUGAACUCCACUGACGAGCCUACAGGCUCAGCCCAGAGGCUUCCCCUUCUAGCACCACAUCCAAGCUGCACCCUGCAAACUUCACACAAUGCUACCCCACUCCAGAGGGUCAUUAAUUCAAGAAAUAUUUCUUGAGUGUCGGCUCUGUCCCUUGCUUUAGCCGUUGUGUGGAGGAAAACCAUACCAAUCCUUAGACUCACGUUUGGUCUAGGGCUCCUGGUAUCCAUCCAGAUGGCCUGAAGUAACUGAAGAUCCACAAAAGAAGUAAAAAUAGCCUUAACUGAUGACAUUCCACCGUUGUGAUUUGUUCCUGCCCCACCCUAACUGAUCAAUGUACUUUGUCAUCUCCCCCACCCUUAAGAAGGUACUUUGUAAUCUCCCCCACCCUUAAGAAGGUACUUUGUAAUCUCCCCCACCCUUAAGAAGGUUCUUUGUAAUUCUCCCUACCCUUGAGAAUGUACUUUGAGAGAUCCACCCCUGCCCCCAAAACAUUGCUCCUAACUCCACCGCCUAUCCCAAAACCUAUAAGAACUAAUGAUAAUCCACCACCUUUUGCUGACUCUCUUUUCGGACUCAGCCCGCCUGCAUCCAGGUGAUUAAAAGCUUUAUUGCUCACAC
Long non-coding RNA from Symphalangus syndactylus (siamang), 756 nucleotides. RefSeq lists it as uncharacterized. The record is from RefSeq and is a predicted model, not a curated record. NCBI's taxonomy places the organism in Eukaryota, Metazoa, Chordata, Mammalia, Primates, Hylobatidae.